This 58-nucleotide transfer RNA is filed under the name Torymus sp. ZJUH_2016035. RNAcentral describes it as "tRNA-Ser". The record is from RNAcentral. Lineage: Eukaryota; Metazoa; Arthropoda; Insecta; Hymenoptera; Torymidae.
GAGAUAAUUAAUUUUGAAUUUCUAAUUCAUAAAAAAAUAUUAAUUUAUUUUUAUCUUU